This 66-nucleotide transfer RNA is filed under the name Margarites vorticiferus. RNAcentral's name for it is "tRNA-His". The record is from RNAcentral. Lineage: Eukaryota; Metazoa; Mollusca; Gastropoda; Trochida; Margaritidae.
UAUCAGGUUAGUUUAUUUAAAAUAUUAGGAUGUGGGCUUAAUGAAGCAGUUUUACCUGCACUUGAU